CCUACGGGUGGCAGCAGUGGGGAAUAUUGCACAAUGGGGGAAACCCUGAUGCAGCGACGCCGCGUGAGUGAAGACGUAUUUCUGUAUGUAAAGCUCUAUCAGCAGGGAAGAAAAUGACGGUACCUGAGUAAGUAGCCCCGGCUAACUACGUGCCAGCAGCCGCGGUAAUACGUAGGGGGCCAGCGUUAUCCGGAUUUACUGGGUGUAAAGGGAGCGUAGACGGAAGGGUAAGUCUGGAGUGAAAUGCUGGGGCUUAACACCGGAAUUGCCUUGGAAACUGUGCGGCUAGAGUGCAGGAGGGGUAAGUGGAAUUCGUGGUGUAGCGGUGAAAUGCGUAGAUAUUAGGAGGAACACCGGUGGCGAAGGCAGCUUACUGGACUGUAACUGACGUUGAGGCUCGAAAGCGUGGGGAGCAAACAGGAUUAGAUACCCUAGUAGUC
Molecule: ribosomal RNA, 440 nt
Filed under: uncultured bacterium
Lineage: Bacteria
Description: partial 16S ribosomal RNA
Rfam family: Bacterial small subunit ribosomal RNA
Source: RNAcentral